RNAcentral lists this ribosomal RNA (305 nucleotides) under uncultured bacterium. Its description in RNAcentral is "bacterial SSU rRNA". It matches the Rfam family "Bacterial small subunit ribosomal RNA", at positions 335 to 656 of the family's 1533-position model. The record is from RNAcentral.
GUCCUACGGGGGGCAGCAGUGGGGAAUAUUGCACAAUGGGGGAAACCCUGAUGCAGCGACGCCGCGUGAAGGAAGAAGGCUUUCGGGUUGUAAACUUCUUUUAAGAGGGAAGAGUAGAAGACGGUACCUCUUGAAUAAGCCACGGCUAACUACGUGCCAGCAGCCGCGGUAAUACGUAGGUGGCAAGCGUUGUCCGGAUUUACUGGGUGUAAAGGGCGUGUAGCCGGGCCGGCAAGUCAGAUGUGAAAUCCCAAGGCUCAACCUUGGAACUGCAUUUGAAACUGUUGGUCUUGAGUAUCGGAGAG